RNAcentral lists this ribosomal RNA (747 nucleotides) under uncultured bacterium. RNAcentral's name for it is "bacterial SSU rRNA". It matches the Rfam family "Bacterial small subunit ribosomal RNA", at positions 1 to 728 of the family's 1533-position model. The record is from RNAcentral.
CCCUUAGAGUUUGAUCAUGGCUCAGAACGAACGGUAGCGGCGUGGAUUAGGCAUGCAAGUCGCACGAGAUCCUUACUUCGGUUAGGUGAAAGUGGCGAAAGGGUGAGUAAUGCAUAGACAAUCAACCCCUGACCUCGGGAUAACUGGGGGAAACCUCAGCUAAUACCGAAUAGGCUCCUUUGGUGGCAUCACCGAAGGAUUAAAGAUGGCCUCUCAACGAUGCUUUCAGUUGGGGACGGGUCUAUGUCCUAUCAGCUUGAUGGUGAGGUAACGGCUCACCAUGGCGAUGACGGGUAGCCGACCUGAGAGGGUGACCGGCCACACUGGGACUGAGACACUGCCCAGACUCCUACGGGAGGCUGCAGUCGAGAAUCUUCCGCAAUGGACGAAAGUCUGACGGAGCGACGCCGCGUGCGGGAUGAAGGCCUUCGGGUUGUAAACCGCUGUCACAGGUUAAGAAUGGGUCAGGCGAUAAUAUCGCCUGGCUCUGACAAAGGCCUGAGAGGAAGCCACGGCUAACUUCGUGCCAGCAGCCGCGGUAAGACGAAGGUGGCAACCGUUGUUCGGAAUCACUGGGCAUAAAGCGCACGUAGGCGGACAUGUAAGUCGGGUGUGAAAUCCCUCGGCCUGACCGAGGAACUGCGCCCGAUACUGCGUGUCUUGAGGGCAGGAGGGGAACGUGGAAUUCCUGGUGGAGCGGUGAAAUGCGUUGAUAUCAGGAGGAACACCGGCGGCGAAGGCGACGUU